UACGUAGGGGGCGAGCGUUAUCCGGAUUUACUGGGUGUAAAGGGGGCGCAGACUGUGCGCAAAGCCGGACGUGAAAGCCGGGGCCCACCCCCCGGAGGACGUCCGGGACUUGCGUGCUGGAGUGCCGGAGGGGCAGGCGGAAUUCCUGGUGUAGCGGUGAAAUGCGUAGAUAUCAGGAGGAACACCGGUGGCGAAGGCGGCCUGCUGGACGUGGCACUGACGUUGAGGCCCGAAAGCGUGGGGAGCAAAC
RNAcentral lists this ribosomal RNA (250 nucleotides) under uncultured prokaryote. RNAcentral describes it as "partial 16S ribosomal RNA". It matches the Rfam family "Bacterial small subunit ribosomal RNA", at positions 524 to 773 of the family's 1533-position model. The record is from RNAcentral.